RNAcentral lists this transfer RNA (96 nucleotides) under Mycolicibacterium chlorophenolicum. Its description in RNAcentral is "tRNA-Arg". Lineage: Bacteria; Bacillati; Actinomycetota; Actinomycetes; Mycobacteriales; Mycobacteriaceae. The record is from RNAcentral.
AUCUCCCGUGCGUCGGCGUUCACGGCGGCGGUUCCGAUCAGCAGCUUGGUCUCGUCGAGCUGGCACAGGCCGGUGCCGGGUCCGGCCAGGUGGUGC